RNAcentral lists this ribosomal RNA (282 nucleotides) under uncultured bacterium. RNAcentral describes it as "partial 16S rRNA". It matches the Rfam family "Bacterial small subunit ribosomal RNA", at positions 1216 to 1501 of the family's 1533-position model. The record is from RNAcentral.
ACACACCGUGCUACAAUGGUUAGGACAAUGAGACGCAAUACCGCGAGGUGGAGCAAAUCUAUAAACCUAAUCUCAGUUCGGAUAGCACUCUGCAACUCGAGUGCUUGAAGCUGGAAUCGCUAGUAAUCGUAGAUCAGCAAUGCUACGGUGAAUACGUUCCCGGGUCUUGUACUCACCGCCCGUCACACCAUGGGAAUUUAGUUCACCCGAAGCCGGAAUGCCAAAUUGGCUACCGUCCACGGUGGGCUCAGUAAGNUAGGGUGAAGUCGUAACAAGGUAACC